Molecule: ribosomal RNA, 274 nt
Filed under: uncultured bacterium
Lineage: Bacteria
Description: partial 16S ribosomal RNA
Rfam family: Bacterial small subunit ribosomal RNA
Source: RNAcentral
GAGUUUGGGAGAGGGAUGCGGAAUUCCAGGUGUAGCGGUGAAAUGCGUAGAUAUCUGGAGGAACACCGGUGGCGAAGGCGGCAUCCUGGACCAACACUGACACUGAUGAGCGAAAGCCAGGGGAGCAAACGGGAUUAGAUACCCCGGUAGUCCUGGCCCUAAACGAUGAAUGCUUGGUGUGGCGGGUAUCGAUCCCUGCCGUGCCGAAGCUAACGCAUUAAGCAUUCCGCCUGGGGAGUACGGUCGCAAGGCUGAAACUCAAAUGAAUUGACGG